AGAGAGAGACAUGCGCGCAUAUCAAUAAGCGGAGGAAAAGAAACUAACAAGGAUUCCCUUAGUAACGGCGAGUGAAGCGGGAAGAGCUCAAAUUUGAAAUCUUCAAGGUUUUACCUUGACGAAUUGUAGUUUAAAGAAGUGUUUUCUGCUGAAGUUUUGGUAAAAGUUCUUUGGAAUAGGACAUCAUAGAGGGUGAGAAUCCCGUAUUUGACCAUUAUUUUCAGCUUUGUGAUACACUUUCAAAGAGUCGGAUUGUUUGGGAAUGCAGUCCAAAAUGGGUGGUAAAUUUCAUCUAAAGCUAAAUAUUGGCGAGAGACCGAUAGCGAACAAGUACCUGUGAGGGAAAGAUGAAAAGAACUUUGAAAAGAGAGUUAAACAGUACGUGAAAUUGUCAAAGGGAAGCGUUUGACACCAGUGUUGUUUUCUCGAAAAUCAAUUAAAAAUGGCUCGAUUUUGUAUUGCUUGAGACCUUAAAAGCUCACUGUACAUUUUUCGUGUCUUUUUUAAUGCACUUUUCGUUUAACAAGUCAACAUCAGUUUCUUUUGUUGUAAAAGGGUCAUUGGAAGGUGGCUUUCUUUUCGGAGAAAGUGUUUAUAGCCUUUGGCCUCUGCAAUCGGAAGAGACUGAGGUCUGCAGCGUAGACUCUUCGGGGUUAGAUACAUUUGUGCUAAGUUAUAGCUUUUUAUAGACAACUUGUUGACUAUAAUUAGUCUUGUAGCUUACUCGCUUAUGCUAUUUUACCUACGCUUAGGAUGUUGAAGAUGUAGCACAUCAU
Molecule: ribosomal RNA, 776 nt
Filed under: uncultured Neocallimastigales
Lineage: Eukaryota; Fungi; Neocallimastigomycota; Neocallimastigomycetes; Neocallimastigales
Description: partial large subunit ribosomal RNA
Rfam family: Eukaryotic large subunit ribosomal RNA
Source: RNAcentral